This 465-nucleotide ribosomal RNA is filed under the name uncultured bacterium. RNAcentral describes it as "partial 16S ribosomal RNA". It matches the Rfam family "Bacterial small subunit ribosomal RNA", at positions 29 to 507 of the family's 1533-position model. The record is from RNAcentral.
ACGAACGCUGGCGGCGCGCCUAACACCUGCAAGUCGAACGAGCGAGAGAGAGCUUGCUUUCUCGAGCGAGUGGCGAACGGGUGAGUAACGCGUGAGGAACCUGCCUCAAAGAGGGGGACAACAGUUGGAAACGACUGCUAAUACCGCAUAAGCCCACGACCCGGCAUCGGGUAGAGGGAAAAGGAGCAAUCCGCUUUGAGAUGGCCUCGCGUCCGAUUAGCUAGUUGGUGAGGUAACGGCCCACCAAGGCGACGAUCGGUAGCCGGACUGAGAGGUUGAACGGCCACAUUGGGACUGAGACACGGCCCAGACUCCUACGGGAGGCAGCAGUGGGGAAUAUUGCACAAUGGGGGAAACCCUGAUGCAGCGACGCCGCGUGGAGGAAGAAGGUCUUCGGAUUGUAAACUCCUGUUGUUGAGGAAGAUAAUGACGGCACUCAACAAGGAAGUGACGGCUAACUACGUG